GGGAGGUCUUACAUGCAGUCGAACGGAGUUAUCAUUUUUGAAGCGAUUAGCUUGCUAAGAGUGGAAAUGUUGGUAACUUCAGUGGCGGACGGGUGAGUAACGCGUGGAGAACCUGCCUUACACAGGGGGAUAACACUUAGAAAUAGGUGCUAAUACCGCAUAAGCGCACAGGACCGCAUGGUCCGGUGUGAAAAACUGAGGUGGUGUAAGAUGGCUCCGCGUCUGAUUAGCUUGUUGGUAGGGUAACGGCCUACCAAGGCGACGAUCAGUAGCCGGCCUGAGAGGGUGAACGGCCACAUUGGGACUGAGACACGGCCCAAACUCCUACGGGAGGCAGCAGUGGGGAAUAUUGGACAAUGGGGGAAACCCUGAUCCAGCGACGCCGCGUGAGUGAAGAAGUAUUUCGGUAUGUAAAGCUCUAUCAGCAGGGAAGAAAAUGACGGUACCUGACUAAGAAGCCCCGGCUAACUACGUGCCAGCAGCCGCGGUAAUACGUAGGGGGCAAGCGUUAUCCGGAUUUACUGGGUGUAAAGGGAGCGUAGACGGCAUUGCAAGUCUGAUGUGAAAGAUUGGGGCUCAACCCCAGGCCUGCAUUGGAAACUGUAAAGCUGGAGUACAGGAGAGGUAAGCGGAAUUCCUAGUGUAGCGGUGAAAUGCGUAGAUAUUAGGAGGAACACCAGUGGCGAAGGCGGCUUCCUGGUCUGCAACUGACACUGAGGCGCGAAAGCGUGGGGAGCAAACAGGAUUAGA
Molecule: ribosomal RNA, 750 nt
Filed under: uncultured bacterium
Lineage: Bacteria
Description: bacterial SSU rRNA
Rfam family: Bacterial small subunit ribosomal RNA
Source: RNAcentral